UACGUAGGGGGCAAGCGUUGUUCGGAAUUACUGGGCGUAAAGGGCGCGUAGGCGGCUCGGCAAGUCGGGAGUGAAAGCCCGGGGCUCAACCCCGGAACGGCUCUCGAAACUGCCGGGCUCGAGUGCGGAAGAGGCAACCGGAAUUCCCAGUGUAGCGGUGAAAUGCGUAGAUAUUGGGAAGAACACCUGAGGCGAAGGCGGGUUGCUGGGCCGACACUGACGCUGAUGCGCGAAAGCCAGGGGAGCGAACGGG
This 253-nucleotide ribosomal RNA is filed under the name uncultured bacterium. Its description in RNAcentral is "partial 16S ribosomal RNA". It matches the Rfam family "Bacterial small subunit ribosomal RNA", at positions 524 to 776 of the family's 1533-position model. The record is from RNAcentral.